RNAcentral lists this ribosomal RNA (406 nucleotides) under uncultured bacterium. RNAcentral's name for it is "partial 16S ribosomal RNA". It matches the Rfam family "Bacterial small subunit ribosomal RNA", at positions 30 to 526 of the family's 1533-position model. The record is from RNAcentral.
AUUGAACGCUGGCGGCAGGCCUAACACAUGCAAGUCGAACGAGUGGCGGACGGGUGAAUAAUGUCUGGGAAACUGCGCGAUGGAGGGGGAUAACUACUGGAAACGGUAGAUAAUCCCGCAUACCCUCGGGUGUGCCCAGAUGGGAUUAGCUAGUGGGUGGGGUAAUGGCUCACCUAGGCGACGAUCCCUAGCUGGUCUGAGAGGGUGACCAGCCACACUGGGACUGAGACACGGUCCAGACUCCUACGGGAGGCAGCAGUGGGGAAUAUUGCACAAUGGGCGCAUGCCUGAGGCAGCCAUGCCGCGUGUAUGAAGAAGGCCGGCGGGUUGUAAAGUACUUACAGUCGGGAGGCGUUACUCACAGAAGAAGCACCGGCUAACUCCGUGCCAGCAGCCGCGGUAAUUC